CUACGGGAGGCUGCAGUGGGGAAUAUUGGACAAUGGGGGAAACCCUGAUCCAGCAAUGCCGCGUGUGUGAAGAAGGCCUGCGGGUUGUAAAGCACUUUCGGUUGGGAGGACUGCUUCUAGCACUAAUAUUGUUGGAAGUUGACGUUACCUUCAGAAGAAGCACCGGCUAACUCCGUGCCAGCAGCCGCGGUAAUACGGAGGGUGCAGCGUUAAUCGGAAUUACUGGGCGUAAAGCGCGCGUAGGCGGCUAGAUCAGUCGGGUGUGAAAGCCCCGGGCUUAACCUGGGAACUGCAUCCGAUACUGUCUAGCUUGAGUACAGGAGAGGAGAGUGGAAUUCCACAUGUAGCGGUGAAAUGCGUAGAUAUGUGGAGGAACACCAAUGGCGAAGGCAGCUCUCUGGCCUGAUACUGACGCUGAGGUGCGAAAGCGUGGGGAGCAAACAGGAUUAGAUACCCCAGUCGUC
This 464-nucleotide ribosomal RNA is filed under the name uncultured bacterium. RNAcentral's name for it is "partial 16S ribosomal RNA". It matches the Rfam family "Bacterial small subunit ribosomal RNA", at positions 339 to 795 of the family's 1533-position model. The record is from RNAcentral.